Molecule: long non-coding RNA, 464 nt
Filed under: Bos taurus (domestic cattle)
Lineage: Eukaryota; Metazoa; Chordata; Mammalia; Artiodactyla; Bovidae
Description: long non-coding RNA NONBTAT016406
Source: RNAcentral
GUGUGUGUACACACACAUGCACACACAUCUUCAGAUUUUUUAAAAACAUAUUUUCAGUCUAAGAGUUACUAUAAAUAACUAACCUGACGUUACUCAACUUGGAGAUUUUUUUUACACUGAUAUGCUUUUGGUUAGAUAAAAUUACUGUGACUAGCUGGAACCAUGUUAGGAUUACUAUAAUUUAUUUCCACAGUGAAAAAGAUGAUUGGUAAUACAAUUAUUUAAAUUUGCAUUUAGUGUUUUUCCUCUUAGAAAACGCUUUCAAAUUUCUUGAUGGAACUGGUAAUUUUUGGAUGGUUCUGCCGGUUUGGUGCGCCCUCCAGUGGAUGUAAGUUGAAUAUGCACUUGGUCAAGAUUUCAAUGGAUGGUUCGCGGCUUUAGCACUUCUGAGCGUGGUCCGGAGUCACCUGGAGGUUUCUGAUGCCGCUUACAGAGCCUGGGCAUCAAGAGUCAUUCUCAUAACA